Molecule: ribosomal RNA, 396 nt
Filed under: Acinetobacter baumannii
Lineage: Bacteria; Pseudomonadati; Pseudomonadota; Gammaproteobacteria; Moraxellales; Moraxellaceae
Description: partial 16S ribosomal RNA
Rfam family: Bacterial small subunit ribosomal RNA
Source: RNAcentral
UUUAACUGAAGAGUUUGAUCAUGGCUCAGAUUGAACGCUGGCGGCAGGCUUAACACAUGCAAGUCGAGCGGGGGAAGGUAGCUUGCUACCGGACCUAGCGGCGGACGGGUGAGUAAUGCUUAGGAAUCUGCCUAUUAGUGGGGGACAACAUCUCGAAAGGGAUGCUAAUACCGCAUACGUCCUACGGGAGAAAGCAGGGGAUCUUCGGACCUUGCGCUAAUAGAUGAGCCUAAGUCGGAUUAGCUAGUUGGUGGGGUAAAGGCCUACCAAGGCGACGAUCUGUAGCGGGUCUGAGAGGAUGAUCCGCCACACUGGGACUGAGACACGGCCCAGACUCCUACGGGAGGCAGCAGUGGGGAAUAUUGGACAAUGGGGGGAACCCUGAUCCAGCCAUGC